AACGCAUCUUGCACCUGGCGGUAAUCCGUCGGGUACGUCUGGGUGGGUGUUGUCCAACCAAACCGCCUGCCGGCUGGCCGGCGCAGUUGACGGGAGCGGCGCGCCGCCCCGUUGGAAUGGCGCCCAAGACAACCUCGGCACGCCUCGUGUGCAGGCGCGCGCCGACCGACAAGAUGGAAGCAUCGGCUGUCGGGGGCGCGUGCGUGCACGGCGCGAGGCCGUUUCUACAGCCCCACCUCAGACGAGACCACCCGCUGAACUUAA
This 264-nucleotide unclassified non-coding RNA is filed under the name uncultured fungus. RNAcentral describes it as "partial internal transcribed spacer 2". Lineage: Eukaryota; Fungi. The record is from RNAcentral.